Long non-coding RNA from Balaenoptera ricei (Rice's whale), 1681 nucleotides. RefSeq lists it as uncharacterized. The transcript is spliced from 5 exons. NCBI's taxonomy places the organism in Eukaryota, Metazoa, Chordata, Mammalia, Artiodactyla, Balaenopteridae. The record is from RefSeq and is a predicted model, not a curated record.
GAGACUUUAGUCAAACAGCUCUCUGCGGCCAGGUCUGGGAAGACAGCUUCUCCACUGGUUUUUAGGAAAAUGGUAGAGAAAACAACAGGAUCUUCUUUCCCGUGCUUACUGCUUCCCACAACCUUCAGUGGAGUGAUCCCUCUCUUUGCACAAUGGUAAAGACCCAGGAUUUGAGCAGAAACCCAGACACUUCUCCCGGAAGUACAGUACAUAUUCUCCCCGAAGCACCUGGCUGCCUCAUAGAGACAAAUUGCAGGGAUGGUCACAGAACUCACACUGAGUGCCUGCUAUGUUCAGAUUGGGAGGUAAAAGAAAGCUGGAGAGAGGCAUCUUCAGAGAAGGAGCUUCACAGAGGAGAGGUGAUUCUUGGCCAGAGAGCACUUGGUCUGUAACACGGAUGCCGCCCUAGGAAUUCAGGAUUCCAGAAACUCUUGGUGGAUUAAGUCACCACAUUCUCAAUGAGAUUACUCACCAGGAUGCUUAUCCACUAUCUGCUUCCUUUGAUAAAGUCACUCCUGAUUGUUUCAAUGUGUGGAUCUACCGAUAAAAUCACAUCAUUGCCCUUCUGUCAUCUAUCUAUUCAUACCCUAUGCUUAUGACUGAGACAUUAACAGGGUGAUGGCUCUCUCUGAUUCCCUCCUUCCAAGUGUCAUCAGCCCCAAUAUAAAAAGGUUGUGAGAUGUUUAAAAUGGUUGUGAAUAGAAAAUUCGCAUUCUUGCUUCAGGUUGUGGAACUCCUAACCAGUCUACAGAACCCCAAGCCCUGUAGCCGCAGCAUUUGCUUCUGUGGAAGAUGCUUCAACUACUUUACCUGUAAAACUGCUGUCGUCCAAGAGGAGUGGGUUCCUGCCGCUGGAAUGCCGGGCUGUCACCCUUGGUUCUCCUGAUACGCUUACAGUUUUGCUGAGGAAACAAAUAUACAUACUUGAGACAUUAACCGUGCAAGUAGACGGGAUAUAAGACUCUGCGUCUAUAUAUGAAACUCUCCCAUCCCGAGGGAAGGUUGAGUUUAGGUUAAUUCACACAGAAAAACUAAAUGGAAAGAGCAGUAUAGGUUUCAUGAAGGACUGAAGCCCUGGAGCCCCCAGAAGAUCGUGAAGAAGUUAAUGGAUUAAGGGGUACAGUCAGCAUGCACCUGUCCGAGAUCGUAAAGUUGUGACCAGAGCGAGCAUCUUUGAAAGACAAAUUCCGACCUCUGGAGAGAAACAUGCCAUGGAAUUACUGAGAGUGGCACAUCAGCUUCUUCCGUGUGGAAGCACAGAGGAGGGAUGCCUCUUGCUAAAUAAUGUUGCAGCCACACGUGGCACAGAGUUCAGAGACCUCGGGGAGGCCAGGAGCAGAUUCAUCUGCAAACUCAGCCUUCACUCUCUUAAGAAUGAGUUAGUAUUAUAGAAAACAAAAGGGAAAGGGAGGUGGGGGAGAGAUAAGUUAGACGUAUGGGAUUAAGAGAUACAAAUUACUAUACAUAAAAUAGAUAGGGACUUCCCUGGCGGUCCACUGGUUGAGACUCCAAGCUUGCACUUCAGGGGGCAUGGGUUUGAUCCCUGGUCGAGGAACUAAGAUCCCGCAUGCUGCACGGCGUGGCUAAUAAAUCAAUAAACAAAUAAAUAAAUACAUAAAUACAUAAGCAACAAGGAUUUACUGUAUAACCCAGGGAACUAUACUCAAGAUCUUAAAACAAU